This 72-nucleotide transfer RNA is filed under the name Actinomadura sp. DC4. RNAcentral describes it as "tRNA-Gln". It matches the Rfam family "tRNA". From Rfam's summary of the family: Transfer RNA (tRNA) molecules are approximately 80 nucleotides in length. Their secondary structure includes four short double-helical elements and three loops (D, anti-codon, and T loops). Lineage: Bacteria; Bacillati; Actinomycetota; Actinomycetes; Streptosporangiales; Thermomonosporaceae. The record is from RNAcentral.
UCCCUGGUCGUCCAACCGGCAGGACACGCGGCUCUGGACCGCACGAUCGAGGUUCGAAUCCUUGCCAGGGAG